Molecule: small RNA, 28 nt
Filed under: Bombyx mori (domestic silkworm)
Lineage: Eukaryota; Metazoa; Arthropoda; Insecta; Lepidoptera; Bombycidae
Description: piRNA piR-bmo-1780393
Source: RNAcentral
UAUAAACCAUAAUCGAGGCUGAUCCUGC